UGGCUGAAUAAUCUUCUGGUUUGAUGAUUGGCAGAUAGUUUAAAACUUUUUGCUAAGGCUGAGAAUAAGAAAAGAGAAAUGCUAACUGAAAAAAACUACAACAGAUGUCUGAAUGCAUGAAUUAUUCCCAGAUUUUUGGCUGAUCUUAACAAGUGGUCAUUGAUCUCUCUCUGGAAUUGCUGCACGGAGGAUGUGACGCCUAUGUAAAGUGCUGAGGUUUGUCUCUGUGUUAGGAUGAAGCCAUCCUCAGCUUCAGAUCCCCUGUGCCACCUGCUCCUGGAUCAAAGACUUCCUCACCAACUGACCUCAAUCAGUUCAACUACUUCCAAGCACUUUUUUCUCCAAUGUGUGCUGUUCUAUUGUUUUAUAUAUAUUCCUAUGGUUUGUCUAUAUUCCUCUUGAUUGUGUUAAUUUUUCCUGUUUGUCAUUUAUUGGUGCUGUCUUGCUAUUUAUGUUUUAUUCCAGUUUUAAUUUCGUUAUACAUGUGACAUGUGACAUGUGACAACGACAAUAAAG
Molecule: long non-coding RNA, 516 nt
Organism: Oreochromis aureus
Lineage: Eukaryota; Metazoa; Chordata; Actinopteri; Cichliformes; Cichlidae
Source: Ensembl